This 88-nucleotide small RNA is filed under the name Leeuwenhoekiella marinoflava. Its description in RNAcentral is "Flavo-1 RNA". It matches the Rfam family "Flavo-1 RNA". Lineage: Bacteria; Pseudomonadati; Bacteroidota; Flavobacteriia; Flavobacteriales; Flavobacteriaceae. RNAcentral also lists the same sequence under 1 other name. The record is from RNAcentral.
AUAUACUCACGGACUAGCGAUUGUAACGGCAUCCUUUUUAAUCAAGUUUUUGUGAUUUAAAACGAUAUAGUGGAAAGCGCGGUAUUGC